RNAcentral lists this transfer RNA (75 nucleotides) under Leeia aquatica. Its description in RNAcentral is "tRNA-Arg". It matches the Rfam family "tRNA". Rfam says of the family: Transfer RNA (tRNA) molecules are approximately 80 nucleotides in length. Their secondary structure includes four short double-helical elements and three loops (D, anti-codon, and T loops). Lineage: Bacteria; Pseudomonadati; Pseudomonadota; Betaproteobacteria; Neisseriales; Leeiaceae. The record is from RNAcentral.
GUCUGCGUAGUUCAAUGGAUAGAACGGGGUCCUCCUAAGACUCAAAUACAGGUUCGAUUCCUGUCGCGGACACCA